UUGUGGAAAGGGUGAUCGUGGGACUUCGUUGUUGAAGGGCAACCGACUGACUCAGAGAAUGCUUGGUGAUGACAAUAGAUUUCGAUGGUGGAGAAGAUAAGGUCGAAGCCAUAGCCGAAAAUUCCGAUGAUUGAUGGUUAAUGUAUAUGACUUUAAAUUAAAAAUAUGAAGAAUUAAUGUACAUGAUUUGAAAUUAAAAUAUGAAGAAUUAAAAAAAAAAAAACUUUUAGUUAAUGAACUUAAAAUUGGCCAAGAUCACUUUAUGUCCAGUCGUUUUAGCGAAUUCUCAAAAAUGUCUCAACCUAACGGUAAUACCAAAAUGAUACCCAACCUACCAAAAAAUUAUUGUUUAUAUCCUAUUAAAAAAAUUUGGCUCCUGAAAACUAACGUGAAUCGUCGGAUAUCCAACAUGGAUUGCCAAUGUGAAUUUAUUAAUCUACAUGAAAUUCUCACUUUAUUUUUCGAGCAAAAAGAAAAAAACAAAAAUAAAAGUGAAAACCCUAAUAUUCAAAGUUAGUGCAUCAUCUCUCUUCUUUCUCG
Molecule: long non-coding RNA, 540 nt
Filed under: Salvia miltiorrhiza (redroot sage)
Lineage: Eukaryota; Viridiplantae; Streptophyta; Magnoliopsida; Lamiales; Lamiaceae
Description: long non-coding RNA (SMIL_LNC004403)
Source: RNAcentral